GGUACCGCCGGAGCAAAUAGUAGAUACGGUUUUAUUAUUCCACUUACCUCAUCAUCGUAUGGUGUCGUUACGCUUCUUGACCUGGCACUUUUUGGGUAAAAAGAUUCAGUCCGAAACUCACGAUUCGACCGAGGAUUCGCGAGCAGCCUUAGAAUUGUAUCGUAAGUACAAAGAACUGGAAAGCUGUGGCACUUUGAGGGAAACGCUUAAGGAGCUUUACGAAGCGGGCACUCAGUUACAGUGGAAAGUUCCCGAUAGCUGAUAUGAGGAUAACACGUAUAAGGAUAUAGAUGAUCGAAUUAAUAGCGAUAAUGACAAUUAGAUGAUAAUACAAAUGUUCAUGUGUCCAUUGUCCAAUAUCACUGUUUGGAAGGUAACACUCUACAGGUGCUGUUCGCGUUGGUUGAUAAAAAAUGUCGAUAUUUAGUCCAAUUCUGAAGACAGGGUUAUAUAUUCGUGAUCCACAGGGAAAGAUUUAUUGAACGCACACGUAAUAUUAUUAGAGGAAAUUUUAAGGUUGCGUGCACCGUGAUAUCGUGAAACUGAAAGAAUCGCAGAUACCAAAACAUUGAUACUCGUUUAGGAUUCUUUUCGUUUUUACUCGUAUGUUAGAUCAUUGUUACAACCGUUUACUAAAUGUAUGGUGUAUACAUACAUGUACUUUUUAUUCAGCGAUAAUGCGUAAAAUCGCAGAUCAUUAUCCGUCUUAUCGAUAGCCCAUUAGAAAGAUUGAAUGAAACGAAACAAAUUGUUGAGCGCGAUUUUAAAUAGGAAUACCAUUUUAAAUACGACGCGAAUUUGUAUAUAUUGUCUAAUAUAACAUUGGCGUUUUGAAGAGUAAUGAUUCCGCAAUGCCCGACGGAUAUCAAUAUUCACUAUAAUUUCUUAUCGUUUGUACUGUAUCCCGUAUGAAAAAGAUAAUGUAUUCCAUUCCGAUCCAUCAAACAAUUGCCGGGUAUAGACGUAAAUAGUACAAUAGCAAUAACUGAAUUACGUAUUCGUAAAUGUACAAUAUUUCAAUGUUUCCUUUUAUACGUAUAUCUCUAGCGUAUAAACUUUUGUACGAUUUUAUAGAGCGGGGUUUCAUGCAAUUUUUUUUUUAUAAGGUAUUUGUUUUAUCUUAUAGUGGGGAGAUACACUGCAAGUUUUCUCGAGCACAUACAUAUACACAUACAUACAUGUAAUCACAAAUUGUUAAACAUCAGUCAUAUUUGCAGUUACAUUUAUGACAAUUAUUCAUCGUUCACUCCAAUCCAUUUGUGCGAAGCUCUUGAAACGCGAGAAAAACUAUUAACGAAGGUGGUAGAAUAUUUUACAAACUGACAAUUGUACUCUCAUUAUAGAUUAUUUUUAUACAAAUUUUAUCAACGAAAAUAUGGGAGGGGGGAUACUAUCCAAAUCUAUUACAAAAAAAGACGAGAUUAAUGAAACAUAUAUUUUUUUAUAUCCCGAAUUUUCUUAUAAUUUGUGCACGAUAAGUUAUAGGCUGGUUUCAAUAGAAACAGUCAAUGCGAUCAAUUAAUAUACAGUACAGAGUACAGACAGUACACACGAUGUUGAGAUGGUAAUUAAACGUUUCUUUUACCAAUCGCUCUGUUACAUCAUUGUAAUUUUUCAAUAAAUAGUUGUACAAAUUCA
Long non-coding RNA from Formica exsecta, 1638 nucleotides. RefSeq lists it as uncharacterized. Lineage: Eukaryota; Metazoa; Arthropoda; Insecta; Hymenoptera; Formicidae. The transcript has 2 exons. The record is from RefSeq and is a predicted model, not a curated record.